GUAUGGAAUGUAAUAUGUAUACAAUAUGUUCUAUGCUGUGUUUUUCCAUCACUAUGUACAGAUAUUGUGAUUCAAGGUAAUACAUACAAUUCAUUUACAUUCACCUGUCUUUGCAGGACACAGACCCAAACCAGAGGACAACAACUCUACAUUGACUCAGAGGAAUCCUCCAGGACGACGACACAAACCAAAACCACUGCACAACUCUACAUCAACUCCCACACUUUCCAGAGGAUUCCUCCUGUAUGCUGUUCAUGGUGAAGAGCAACUUGAGGCUGACAGGGAUGCAAGUUGGACUGCUUAUCAAAGACAAAGGCCAGCUACAAGUCUUCAUCAUCAUUCAUCACAAGGUCAUCAUUCAUUUCAAAAGGGACAUGCCAACUGGCUAGUUGGGCUCAAUGUGAAGAAAAAGACUGUGAAUCUCUUGUGUGUUCACAAAACAUGGACUGUUGACCACACAGUGUUUUGGACUUGGACUACAUCAUGUAGGCUACUAUACUCUUUUCAAUGACAUCACACUGCAUAUUGGUAAAAUAGUCCCUGGAGGAGUAAUGUUUGAAUUAGAUUCCUAAGGGCCCAGAAGUCAUGGAUGAGGGUACUGAUGUAUGGUUACAGAUUCAAAUCUGCAACCUUCCAAUUGCAAGAUUAACUCCCUACCAUUAGACCACAGCUCUCUACAGUUUGUUUUUUUCUACAUAAAUUCUUUGUCCCUCCAUCAGUCUUACCAAAAGUCAAAACAUAAUGUUUUCUUACUGCACCCACAAUUUCGUCCGUACCCUGUUUGGCUAGCUGAUUUGUCAUGAAUUUUGAUGGUAUAAAGUAUUAAUGGUCUGUGCAUGUAUUAAUAUGUGGGACAUUGAACGUGAACAACAACUAUGUAGUUGAAUCAACUUUUUGACUUACAACUUUUUGACUUACAAAUGUAAGGCAGCAGGGGAUCUUGAAUCUGUGAGUCGUCUUGAAUGUACUGUAAAAGUUAAAAUAAAUUUGGAAUUGAAGUCA
Long non-coding RNA from Engraulis encrasicolus (European anchovy), 1002 nucleotides. RefSeq lists it as uncharacterized. The record is from RefSeq and is a predicted model, not a curated record. Lineage: Eukaryota; Metazoa; Chordata; Actinopteri; Clupeiformes; Engraulidae. The transcript has 3 exons.